CCGAUCCUACGGGGGGCAGCAGUGGGGAAUAUUGCACAAUGGGGGAAACCCUGAUGCAGCAACGCCGCGUGAGUGAAGAAGUAUUUCGGUAUGUAGAGCUCUAUCAGCAGGGAAGAAGAAAGACGGUACCUGACUAAGAAGCCCCGGCUAACUACGUGCCAGCAGCCGCGGUAAUACGUAGGGGGCAAGCGUUAUCCGGAUUUACUGGGUGUAAAGGGAGCGUAGGCGGUUUAGCAAGUCAGAAGUGAAAGCCCGGGGCUCAACUCCGGGACUGCUUUUGAAACUGUUGAACUAGAUUGCAGGAG
RNAcentral lists this ribosomal RNA (305 nucleotides) under uncultured bacterium. Its description in RNAcentral is "bacterial SSU rRNA". It matches the Rfam family "Bacterial small subunit ribosomal RNA", at positions 332 to 654 of the family's 1533-position model. The record is from RNAcentral.